GUGUCAGCAGCCGCGGUAAGACGAACCGUGCGAACGUUGUUCGGAAUCACUGGGCUUAAAGGGCGCGUAGGCGGUCUGUCAAGUCGGUGGUGAAAUCUUUCGGCUCAACCGGAAAACUGCCAUCGAUACUGACAGGCUGGAGGGAGGUAGGGGUUGCGGGAACUACCAGUGGAGCGGUGAAAUGCGUUGAUAUUGGUAGGAACGCCGGUGGCGAAAGCGCGCAACUGGACCUCUUCUGACGCUGAGGCGCGAAAGCUAGGGGAGCAAACGGGAUUAGAAACCCUAGUAGUCC
Molecule: ribosomal RNA, 292 nt
Filed under: uncultured bacterium
Lineage: Bacteria
Description: partial 16S ribosomal RNA
Rfam family: Bacterial small subunit ribosomal RNA
Source: RNAcentral